RNAcentral lists this small nuclear RNA (100 nucleotides) under Spermophilus dauricus (Daurian ground squirrel). Lineage: Eukaryota; Metazoa; Chordata; Mammalia; Rodentia; Sciuridae. The record is from RNAcentral.
GUGCUCAUUUUGGCAGCACAUAAACUAAAAUUGGAACAAUACAGAAAAUAUCAGCAUGGCCCCUGCCCAAGGAUGACACAUUCAAUAUUUUUAAGCUUGU